GACGAACGCUGGCGGCGUGCCUAAUACAUGCAAGUCGACCUUAGUGGCGGACGGGUGAGUAAUGCCUAGGAAUCCGCCUGGUAGUGGGGGGUAACGUCCGGAAACGAGGGCUAAUACCGCAUACUAUCAGUUGAGCCUGGGUCGGCUUAGCGAGUUGGUGGGGUAAGGGCCUACAAAGGCGACGAGCCGUAACUGGACUGAGAGGAUGAUCAGCCACACUGGAACGUAGACACGGCCCAGACUCCUACGGGAGGCAGCAGUGGGGAAUAUUGGACAAUGGACGAAAGCCUGACCGAGCAAUGCCGCGUGUGUGAAGAAGGUUUUCGGAUUGUAAAGCUCUUUAAGUUGAGAAGCGUUACCUAAAGAAUAAGCAACGGCUAACUUCGUGCCAGCCGCCGCGGUAAUAC
This 407-nucleotide ribosomal RNA is filed under the name uncultured bacterium. Its description in RNAcentral is "partial 16S ribosomal RNA". It matches the Rfam family "Bacterial small subunit ribosomal RNA", at positions 28 to 526 of the family's 1533-position model. The record is from RNAcentral.